Phascolarctos cinereus (koala) is the source of this 580-nucleotide non-coding RNA. NCBI's taxonomy places the organism in Eukaryota, Metazoa, Chordata, Mammalia, Diprotodontia, Phascolarctidae. The record is from RefSeq and is a predicted model, not a curated record.
GCAACCAGGCCAGUGUUGCUAGGUGGUGGAGUGAAUGGAAGGGAAUAAAAUGUGAGAAUGUAAAGGUCAUGGUUAUGAUUGACUUCAAGAGAUGAACAGGUGAUUUUGUAUUUGAUCCUGGAAGGAAGAGGGAACCAUUGGAGUUUGUUGAAUAAGAAAGGGUGACAUGGACAAACUGACGCCUAGGAAAAUCACUUUUGUGGCUGAGAGGGGGCAGAUUUAGAAUAAAAAGAGACUUGAGGAGGUGACAUCAACCAGAAGGCCAUCACAACUGUCCUUGCAUGAAGUAUUAAGGAGCAACACCAAAAUGGCGGCUAUAGCCCUUCAAGGAUCAGAAGUCACAGCAGAUCCAGAAGCUUGAGAAGCUGAGUGAAGUCUACCUGUCCAACAGGUGCAGAUACUCACACGGAAAAUUUAACUGGUUCUCCUAGCCAGUUGAAGCGGGUUCCAGCAUACCACUGCAUAUAUGAAAUCUUUCUGUCUUUGACCUUCUUUAGGUCAAACUGUACAAAAUCAGCAGCAGCUGAGGUGUCAAACUCACAGAUGCCAGCCACAUGGUUCCACAAAACUUCCCAGUCCA